This 318-nucleotide long non-coding RNA is filed under the name Brassica napus (rape). Its description in RNAcentral is "long non-coding RNA (BNAP_LNC023120)". Lineage: Eukaryota; Viridiplantae; Streptophyta; Magnoliopsida; Brassicales; Brassicaceae. The record is from RNAcentral.
UGGAAAUUGUGAUUAAUAACUUUACCUUCUAGGUUAGAAGACCCUUCAGGGUAAAGUCUUGGUGGGUAAUCCCCUGAUUUAACUUCAGUAACAUACAUCUGAUCAUAUAACCCAACAAUAAAAUCAGCCACAACAAAACAGUAAUUCAGCCGCAUCAUAAGAGUAACACAGUCAUAACAUAACAUUAGGUUAUUCACGACACAAAUAUAACUCAGCCAUAACAUAACUAUAACUCAGCCGCAGCAAAACCCUAACUCAAACGCAACCAAACCCCCAACAAAACAAAAUCACAGCCGCAACACAACCCUAUCUCAGCCG